This 247-nucleotide ribosomal RNA is filed under the name uncultured bacterium. RNAcentral's name for it is "partial 16S ribosomal RNA". It matches the Rfam family "Bacterial small subunit ribosomal RNA", at positions 86 to 334 of the family's 1533-position model. The record is from RNAcentral.
AGAUGGCGACCGGCGCACGGGUGAGUAACACGUAUCCAACCUGCCGAUAACUCGGGGAUAGCCUUUCGAAAGAAAGAUUAAUACCCGAUGGUAUAAUCAGACCGCAUGGUUUGAUUAUUAAAGAAUUUCGGUUAUCGAUGGGGAUGCGUUCCAUUAGGCAGUUGGUGAGGUAACGGCUCACCAAACCUUCGAUGGAUAGGGGUUCUGAGAGGAGGGUCCCCCACAUUGGAACUGAGACACGGUCCAA